UACGUAGGGUGCGAGCGUUAAUCGGAAUUACUGGGCGUAAAGCGUGCGCAGGCGGUGCACCAAGCUCGAUGUGAAAGCCCCGGGCUUAACCUGGGAAUUGCAUUGAGGACUGGUGUGCUCGAGUGCGGCAGAGGGGGGUGGAAUUCCAGGUGUAGCGGUGAAAUGCGUAGAUAUCUGGAGGAACAUCGGUGGCGAAGGCGGCAUCCUGGACCGGUAUUGACGCUGAGGCGCGAAAGCCAGGGGAGCAAACGGG
This 253-nucleotide ribosomal RNA is filed under the name uncultured bacterium. RNAcentral's name for it is "partial 16S ribosomal RNA". It matches the Rfam family "Bacterial small subunit ribosomal RNA", at positions 524 to 776 of the family's 1533-position model. The record is from RNAcentral.